RNAcentral lists this ribosomal RNA (479 nucleotides) under uncultured bacterium. RNAcentral's name for it is "bacterial SSU rRNA". It matches the Rfam family "Bacterial small subunit ribosomal RNA", at positions 30 to 506 of the family's 1533-position model. The record is from RNAcentral.
CGAACGCUGGCGGCGUGCCUAACACAUGCAAGUCGAGCGGAGUUGACAAGAGGAAGUUUUCGGAUGGAAACUUGUUGAUUUAGCGGCGGACGGGUGAGUAACGCGUGAGCGACCAACCUUGCACAGGGGGAUAACGGACCGAAAGGUUCACUAAUACCGCAUGAGACCACGGUGUUGCAUGACACAGGGGUCAAAGGAGAAAUCCGGUGCAAGACGGGCUCGCGUCCGAUUAGGUAGUUGGUGGGGUAAUGGCUCACCAAGCCUAUGAUCGGUAGCCGACCUGAGAGGGUGAUCGGCCACAUUGGAACUGAGAAACGGUCCAAACUCCUACGGGAGGCAGCAGUGGGGAAUAUUGGGCAAUGGGGGAAACCCUGACCCAGCAACGCCGCGUGAAGGAAGAAGGUUUUCGGAUUGUAAACUUCUGUCCUUGGUGAAGAGAAGAAGACGGUAGCCGAGGAGGAAGCCCCGGCUAACUACGU